Molecule: ribosomal RNA, 292 nt
Filed under: uncultured microorganism
Description: partial 16S ribosomal RNA
Rfam family: Bacterial small subunit ribosomal RNA
Source: RNAcentral
GUGCCAGCAGCCGCGGUAAUACGUAGGUGGCAAGCGUUAUCCGGAAUUAUUGGGCGUAAAGCGCGCGUAGGCGGUUUCUUAAGUCUGAUGUGAAAGCCCACGGCUCAACCGUGGAGGGUCAUUGGAAACUGGGAAACUUGAGUGCAGAAGAGGAAAGUGGAAUUCCAUGUGUAGCGGUGAAAUGCGCAGAGAUAUGGAGGAACACCAGUGGCGAAGGCGACUUUCUGGUCUGUAACUGACGCUGAUGUGCGAAAGCGUGGGGAUCACACAGAAAGAGAUACCCUUGUAGUCC